Molecule: RNA transcript, 1131 nt
Organism: Trifolium pratense (red clover)
Lineage: Eukaryota; Viridiplantae; Streptophyta; Magnoliopsida; Fabales; Fabaceae
Gene name: lon protease homolog 2, peroxisomal-like
Exons: 5
Source: RefSeq, a predicted model, not a curated record
UCAAAGAAUCAAGGUCUCCUGAACGCGGGGCACAGAUUAAAUUUCAUCUUUGUUUUCACGAUUUCCCUCAAAACAAAACCCAGAUCCUCUUCCCUGCCAUAAUUUUUCUUCGCCCUAGCUCUUCUUCGCCUUUGUUCGUCUCCGUCGUAGCUUCUGCCACCGCAGUUCCUCUUGUCGCCGCCAUAUCUCUUCCUCAACGAAGGGCAGCAAUACUCUAUUUUCGCUUCUCAUAAACCCAUAGUGCUAUCUCAAAGUUUUUUAUGCUAAGGAAGUGUCAACUUUAUCUUGCUGGAUUUCUUCACAUAAUUGAGGCUCUUGCAGAUGAGGGUUAUAAAAGAAGAACUUGGUGAUAAUGAGGAUGAUGAGGAUGACCUGAUUGCCCUUAAAAGGAAUAUGCAGAAAGCAGGAAUGCCACCAAAUGUAUGGAAACAUGCACACAGAGUUGAGGAGGCUUAAAAAAAUGCAGCCUCAGCAACCUGGGUAUAACAGUUCGCGGGUUUACCUUGAUCUUCUUGCCGAUCUGCCCUGGAAGAAGGCCAGCGAAGAGAUUGAAAUGGACUUAAGAGCUACACAAAAGCGACUGGACAGUGAUCACUAUGGUUUAGUGAAGGUCAAGCAAAGAAUUAUUGAAUACCUAGCAGUUCGCAAGACUUGGGUUAGUUCAAUUGAGGCUGCUCAACAAUAACUAUCGUAAUUGCAAGGAAGUUUGGAUUACCGUGUUACGGAGGAAAGUUUGAUGGAUCGCGUAGAUAUCAAUAUGCAUGAAGCAUGCCUGCAGAUUGACAAAGAAUGCAGGUUAGUAGAAAAGUUGUUUGAUCUCUCCUGCUGCAGCCUUUUGUUUCUAGUUCCAUUUAUUUAUUCGUCAAGUUAUUGAACAUGAGUGUGGAUGUUAGAGUUUCACAAAAGUAUUUGUAAAACUAAAGCAAUCAAAAGCAUGAUAUCUCUCUUUUAUUCAUCAGGUUCUUUAGGAAGUGUAUUGUGAUUUUGUUAGUUUUAUGUGUGUAAUUACUUAUUGAUUAAUCAAAAGUAUGAUAUCUCUCUUUUAUUCAUCAGGUUUGUGAUUUUGUAAAACUAAAAAUAUUUGCAGUAUCAUGUUCUUGAUUUUUAAUUUAGGAUUGGAUGUAUCAGUUC